CCUACGGGAGGCAGCAGUGGGGAAUAUUGGGCAAUGGGCGCAAGCCUGACCCAGCAACGCCGCGUGAAGGAAGAAGGCUUUCGGGUUGUAAACUUCUUUUCUCAGGGACGAAGCAAGUGACGGUACCUGAGUAAUAAGCCACGGCUAACUACGUGCCAGCAGCCGCGGUAAUACGUAGGUGGCAAGCGUUAUCCGGAUUUACUGGUUGUAAAGGGCGUGUAGGCGGGAAAGCAAGUCAGAUGUGAAAACCAUGGGCUCAACCUGUGGCCUGCAUUUGAAACUGUUGGUCUUGAGUACUGGAGAGGCAGACGGAAUUCGUAGUGUAGCGGUGAAAUGCGUAGAUAUUGGGAGGAACACCAGUGGCGAAGGCGGUCUGCUGGACAGCAACUGACGCUGAGGCGCGAAAGCGUGGGGAGCAAACAGGAUUAGAUACCCGUGUAGUC
This 443-nucleotide ribosomal RNA is filed under the name uncultured bacterium. RNAcentral's name for it is "partial 16S ribosomal RNA". It matches the Rfam family "Bacterial small subunit ribosomal RNA", at positions 338 to 795 of the family's 1533-position model. The record is from RNAcentral.